UUGUUGGAUCCAGAUUCAGUU
This 21-nucleotide non-coding RNA is filed under the name Arabidopsis thaliana (thale cress). Lineage: Eukaryota; Viridiplantae; Streptophyta; Magnoliopsida; Brassicales; Brassicaceae. The record is from RNAcentral.